Molecule: ribosomal RNA, 253 nt
Filed under: uncultured bacterium
Lineage: Bacteria
Description: partial 16S ribosomal RNA
Rfam family: Bacterial small subunit ribosomal RNA
Source: RNAcentral
UACAGAGGUCCCAAGCGUUGUUCGGAUUCACUGGGCGUAAAGGGUGCGUAGGUGGCGAGGUAAGUCGGAUGUGAAAUCUCCGAGCUCAACUCGGAAAUGGCAUUGGAAACUACCUUGCUCGAGGGUUGGAGGGGGGACUGGAAUGCUUGGUGUAGCAGUGAAAUGCGUAGAUAUCAAGCGGAACACCAGUGGCGAAGGCGGCGACCUGGGCCAAUACUGACGCUGAGGUGCGAAAGCGUGGGGAGCAAACAGG